Molecule: long non-coding RNA, 1096 nt
Organism: Beta vulgaris subsp. vulgaris (sugar beet)
Lineage: Eukaryota; Viridiplantae; Streptophyta; Magnoliopsida; Caryophyllales; Amaranthaceae
Exons: 5
Source: RefSeq, a predicted model, not a curated record
AAUAUAAGCGGAUGAUAAAUUUAAAAUUAGCGUCCGAUAAACGACAGAUGCAAAUUAGCGUCCGCUAGAUGAGAUUUAGCGUCCGUUCUUUUAAACGGACGCUAAUUAGCAUCCGUUUACUUAAUAUACCGUCCGAAGGACGGACGUUAAGUAACAGGUAUAAAUUAAAAAAAAGUACCUCUAGUCGACCAAAUUAUCAACCCUAACACACGCCUCUCUCUUCCUCACUCUCAUCUCACGUUUGUCUCUCUUCCUCACUCUCAUCUCACAUUUUGUGCUCUCUCUUUCUUUCAGAUCUCACAAAUCAGAGUAUUCCUGAAAUAUCUUAUCAGAUAUGGGUUGUUAUCGUUCAACUGAAUUCAAGAACACUUUGCACCCUUUUUCAGAUCCUUUCUUCAUGCUUCUGCUAACUGUCACAAAGCUAAACAGAAGCAGAAGGAAGCAAAGAGGAUGUUGUUGCCAAGUGUAGAGGGGAAAGAAAGUGGCAAUUGAUCGUUGUCGAUUCUGGUUCAGUGAUUGUUCAUGCUUUAGAUGAGAAAGCCAGAGCUUAUUACGAUUUAGAAAGUCGUUGGUCAGGGAAGAAGCCACCUGCUGACUUAAGCCAGGCAGUGCAACCAACAGAAGAAAUGAUUCACGAGGAGAAAGAAGAGAAGAAUUUCAGCAAAGGAAGCUUAGUUGAAGUGAGUUUUGAGGGUGCUUGGUUCACUGCAACUGUUCUUGAGGUGAUUGGGAUCUAAAAACAGAAGAUGACAAAGAGUUUGUAAGAGAAGAGGCUGAUGCCCUGCACAUCAGACCGCAUCCUCCAAAGGCAGGAAAAGUCGACACGUUCAAGCAGUUUGAAGAAGUUGAUGCUCUUUAUAAUGAUGGGUGGUGGGUGGACUGCAUUUCUGAAGUCCUUGGUGACUCAAAAUAUUUAGUUUUGUUCCAGAUUUUUUUGUUGUGGAGUUUAAAUUAGUGUACAUGUAAUUAUAUGAGAUUUGUAUUAGAUUUUGUUCUAAGUAUACUAGAACUUAGUUAUAGAAUUAUUCUUUCACUUGUAUCUACAUUUAUUAUCAAUAAUAAUUGAAUUGAUUAAUUUGUUUGCCUUAAUAAAGAA